UACAGGGGGGGCAAGCGUUGUUCGGAAUUACUGGGCGUAAAGGGUCUGUAGGUGGCCAACUAAGUCAGACGUGAAAUCCCUCAGCUUAACUGGGGAACUGCGUCUGAUACUGGAUGGCUCGAGUGUGGGAGAGGAAUGCGGAAUUCCAGGUGUAGCGGUGAAAUGCGUAGAUAUCUGGAGGAACACCGGUGGCGAAGGCGGCAUCCUGGACCAAUACUGACACUGAGGAGCGAAAGCCAGGGGAGCAAACGGG
This 253-nucleotide ribosomal RNA is filed under the name uncultured bacterium. Its description in RNAcentral is "partial 16S ribosomal RNA". It matches the Rfam family "Bacterial small subunit ribosomal RNA", at positions 524 to 776 of the family's 1533-position model. The record is from RNAcentral.